GAUGAACGCUGGCGGCGUGCUUAACACAUGCAAGUCGAACGGAAAGGCCCAAGCUUGCUUGGGUACUCGAGUGGCGAACGGGUGAGUAACACGUGGGUGUUCUGCCCUGCACUUCGGGAUAAGCCUGGGAAACUGGGUCUAAUACCGGAUAGGACGAUGGUUUGGAUGCCAUUGUGGAAAGUUUUUUCGGUGUGGGAUGAGCUCGCGGCCUAUCAGCUUGUUGGUGGGGUAAUGGCCUACCAAGGCGUCGACGGGUAGCCGGCCUGAGAGGGUGUACGGCCACAUUGGGACUGAGAUACGGCCCAGACUCCUACGGGAGGCAGCAGUGGGGAAUAUUGCACAAUGGGCGCAAGCCUGAUGCAGCGACGCCGCGUGGGGGAUGACGGCCUUCGGGUUGUAAACUCCUUUCGCUAGGGACGAAGCGUUUUUGUGACGGUACCUGGAGAAGAAGCACCGGCUAACUACGUG
RNAcentral lists this ribosomal RNA (468 nucleotides) under uncultured bacterium. RNAcentral's name for it is "partial 16S ribosomal RNA". It matches the Rfam family "Bacterial small subunit ribosomal RNA", at positions 28 to 507 of the family's 1533-position model. The record is from RNAcentral.